Molecule: ribosomal RNA, 272 nt
Filed under: uncultured Peptoniphilus sp.
Lineage: Bacteria; Bacillati; Bacillota; Tissierellia; Tissierellales; Peptoniphilaceae
Description: partial 16S ribosomal RNA
Rfam family: Bacterial small subunit ribosomal RNA
Source: RNAcentral
UACGUAGGGGGCUAGCGUUGUCCGGAAUCGCUGGGCGUAAAGGGUUCGCAGGCGGAAAUGCAAGUCAGAUGUAAAAGGCAGUAGCUUAACUACUGUAAGCAUUUGAAACUGCAUAUCUUGAGAAGAGUAGAGGUAAGUGGAAUUUUUAGUGUAGCGGUGAAAUGCGUAGAUAUUAAAAAGAAUACCGGUGGCGAAGGCGACUUACUGGGCUCAUUCUGACGCUGAGGAACGAAAGCGUGGGUAGCAAACAGGAUUAGAAACCCUUGUAGUCC